Molecule: long non-coding RNA, 3412 nt
Organism: Myotis myotis
Lineage: Eukaryota; Metazoa; Chordata; Mammalia; Chiroptera; Vespertilionidae
Exons: 3
Source: RefSeq, a predicted model, not a curated record
GCGAGUCUAUUUUGAAGAAGUACUGUUGAUAUUUGGCUCUGUUGACUAAUGAGUUUGCUGACCACUGUGCUAGGACCUUGCUAAACUUACAAGUUCCAGGUGGGUGUAUGUAUCUGGAUUCCUUAGGAUUAGCUAUAUAUAGGAUCAAGACAUUUUUACUUCAACAUGUGUACUACUUUUUUCUUUUUUGUGUGUGUGCCUUAUUGCACAUCCAGUACAGUGUUGAGUAGAAGUAGCAAGAGCAGACAUUCCUACCUUGUUCCUGAUUUUACAGAAAAGCAUUGUCAUUUGCCAUGAAUAUGAUGCUGAUAUUUUUCAUAGUAGUUGCUGUGAUGGGCACUGAUGCUCCCCCAACCAAAGAUACCCAUGUUGUUAUCCCUGCAAUCAUGAAUAUGUCAGGUUACAUAGCAAAGGAAAUUAAGGUUGCUAACCAGCUGACCUCAAAAUAGUGAGAUAAGUGGAUUUUCCAAGUGGAGCAAAUGUAAUUACAAGGGUCCUUAAAAGUGGAAGAGGGGUCAGAAGAGGUCCUGCUCUUCUGGAGGAGUACCCCCCUCCCCUCCUUUCUGAGUUUGUGAAGUGAUUGGUUACUGGUAGAAUGCAUUAGUGAAGGCAUGUGGGCCUGGGCUUCCCUUUGCAUGAAGACUUCAGGCUUUUAUCAAUUGAAUUUUUUGUUAGGUCUAUUCUGAUUUUGUUUGUGAGGCAAUGUGAGAAGGACUCGAUCCACAGUUGCUAGCUUUUGAAUAUGGAGGCUGGAAGCGAGGAGCCAAGGAAGUAGGCACCUCUAGAAUCUAGAAAAGGCAAGGAAACAGAUCCUCCUCCCGCUGAAAUCUCCAGAAGGAAAUAGGCCUGCUGACCAUCCAGUGUGGCUCAUGUCAGACUCCUGACCUCCAGAACUGCCAGAUGAACUAGACAGACUCUGAGAAAGGAACCAGCAGCUGACAUUCUGAUGAAAUGGGAUUUAGCCCAAGACUCUACUGGCAACUUCGCACUGAAUAACUUCAUGUAACCCCCCAGACCAGAGGAGAAUGGCCAGCUGAUGCAGAAAAGCAGGUGGCAAGAUCCAGUUCCCAUCCUGGAUGCCUUCUCGCAAAGAAAGGAAGGACCGUGCUCAAUGUAAUAACAGGUACUCAGCCUGACCGCCACCCUUGAGGGGAGGAGCGGCCUCGGUGCCCAUGGUGCCACACCUGCCACUUCCUCCUGGCAGCACCACUCCCCUGCCCUUCCUCUCUCUACUGAUGGUUCCUCUCCGGUUCCAGACCUAUGAACGCCUGAGAUCUCGACCUCCCGCAUGACGGCACCUGCCUCCCGGCUUUAGGACUCACCACACGCUGGUGACUCCUCACGGGCAUUUCCAGGUGGACCUUGCCUUGAACUUCCCUGCCUACCCGGCUGUUUCAUAGGCAUUUAAACUCAACUUGUCCAAACCUGACCUCCCACGACUCCAGUGAGUAAAUGGACAUGGAAUCCCCUUAACAGCACUCACGGCUCAGAUCCAAGCCGGGAGCAAACGCCUCUGCCUGCACCUCAGCUCACUGGGAACUCACCACCUCUCACCUCCACCUGCUGCUCCCGCGACCCUGCCAUGACACUCGGAGAAUCCUAGUAGGGUCAGGUACGACCUGCCUCUGCACCUCUGAGUGUGGGCGCCAAGUCCUCCCGUGCCCUGUACCCUGACCCACUCCCCUCCCCUCUGCCCGCACAGCCUCGCUCUUCCGCAGACCUGCUCGGGGUAUCUGGGCAGCCUCUCCCUAGAUCCCCUCAAUUUUACUUCAUGGCACCUCCUCAGUGAGGCCUCCCCUUGGGUGCUCUAUCCCUAAGUGCUGUUUUUUCUCUGCAGUGCUCCCUCCGUCUGACCUGCCAGCACUUCUGUCAUCUCUGUCUUCAUCCCUCAGGAUGAAGCUCCACAGGGAAGGGACUUCUGUCUGCUCACUCCGAGUCCCUGGAGUGUCCGGCAUCUGCCACAUCAGCGCAUUCAGACAUUUAGGAAACCAAUGAAGUCAGAAUAAAGGCCAAUGUGUCCACUUGCCUCACUUCAACAGGGAGAUCUGGAAAACCACAUCCCAGAUGGAACUCAGAGGGUCUACAAAGGAACAACAUCAGGAAGUAAUAACCAGCCAAAAUGCAGAAAAUAUGAAAAGAAGAAAACACCCACCACCCCACACCCGAGACAAGUGCAGGCUUGUGUACAGCUCAUUACUGGGAAGAACAGCAAGAAGUCAGAUGCCCAGGGUCCCUCCCCUGGCACGACAGCCCCCUCUACAGGGUGGUGAGUUCUCAUGUAGGGUAUUCAGGCUUCCCCUAGGGCAGCGGUUUUCAACCUGUGGGUCGUGACCAUCGGAAAACACAUAUAGCAUAUCAGAUAUUUACAUUACGAUUCAAAACAGUAACAAAAUUACAGUUAUGAAGUAGCAACGAAAAUAAUUUUAUGGUUGGGGUCACCACAACAUGAGGAACUGUAUUAAAGGGUCGCGGCGUUAGGAAGGUUGAGAACCACUGCCCUAGGGAGAAGCACCCUGGAAGAGCCCUUGGCAGGCACCCUGUCACCUCCAGUCAGGAUGGUCUUGCCCCUGAUCAACACUGACCAAGGCAGACAGAGAGAAGAUGCAAAUUGGGCCGUUUGGCCAACUGUUAGCUUCUAUAGAAACUCCACAAGAAGGUCAGGAUUGAGAGCCGGGGUCUCCACCCUCCUAGCCACCCCUGCCCUCUGCCCAGCUAACCUGGAGGGUCACGCCAUAGUUGCAGACACCCAAGCCCAGGCUUCCUGACCAUUCAGGGGCCCUCAAACCUGAGAGUAUGGAUCUUACCGCCCCCCACACUGUGAUCACUGGCAUCAAGCAGUAAUCCUUCAUCAUCAAAAGUCCUCUUUCUCCUGCCUGCGCUUCCUUUGCAUCCCUCUCAGCAGGUGUCAGGGUGGGCCCUACACCAGUGUGUGUGUGUGUGUGUGUGGGGCGCUAGGGGCUAUUGUAGCUCCUCCAGGGCAAAGGCUGCCUGACUUCCUUCGUGUCCCUUUGCCCGGUGCCUGCAUAGGGAGGUGCUCACAGUGGGUUAAAGACAUGUAAGAGGAACACUAACUACAGCCAGCCAUACCACGAGGUAUUUUGCAGCCAUAUAAAGGACUGGAGCUGGAACAUGCCGCACAUUGGGCCAAGUGAGAGAAGCCCAUAGUGCGCGAUCCCAUUGAUGCCCAUAGAAACAGAAGUGAGUGGUGCCAAGGCCCGGGAAGAGAGGAGAUAGGGGAAUAGUGACUGCUAGUAGGUAUGACAUUCCUUUUGAGGUGAUGAAAAUGCUCUAACAUUUAUUGUGGUGAUGAUUGUACAACUCUUGACUAUAUGGAAAACCAUCGAACUGUUCACACUAAGUGGAAAUUAUGUGGUUGGUUGAUUAUACUUCAAUAAAGCUGUUUUGUUUUUUG